CGGAUUACAGGAGGAGGAUCGAGGACCACCUGGACAGCAACAACACCAGGCAGGUAUAGCAGGGAAUCCAGAACAUUACCAACUACAAGACCAACCCAGGGGCUGCUGAAGGUGAUGUCUCGCUGGCGGAGGAGCUGAACCACUUCUUCGCCCGUUUCGAGGCAAAACCACCAGAUGCAGCAACGCCACAUCCAGCAGCCAACAGCGACAUCAUCCUCACGGUAGAGGAGCACGAGACUGGUGCUCAAAUUGGAAUACCACACUCAACCUGCCUUUGGAUUAAGGACUUAACGGACCGCACUCAGAGGGUAAGUUUGGACCUCCACCGCCUCAGCACUGGCUCCCCACAGGGCUGUGUGCUGAGUCCCCUGCUCUAUACCCUCUAUACCAGUCAUACUCAAGUAGCGGCCCGCGGGCCACGGGUGUCUAUUAAUGGCCCUCGAGCUGUUUUGAAAAGUUUUUUUAAUUA
This is a long non-coding RNA of Gadus morhua (Atlantic cod), 469 nucleotides long. RefSeq lists it as uncharacterized. NCBI's taxonomy places the organism in Eukaryota, Metazoa, Chordata, Actinopteri, Gadiformes, Gadidae. The transcript has 2 exons. The record is from RefSeq and is a predicted model, not a curated record.